Molecule: long non-coding RNA, 811 nt
Organism: Poeciliopsis prolifica (blackstripe livebearer)
Lineage: Eukaryota; Metazoa; Chordata; Actinopteri; Cyprinodontiformes; Poeciliidae
Exons: 2
Source: RefSeq, a predicted model, not a curated record
UAACAAAAACACAACAACAUUAACAAAAACACAACAACAUUAACGGAAACACAACAACAUUAACAAAAACACAACAACAUUAACGAAAACACAACAACAUUAACAAAAACACAACAACAUUAACGAAAACACAACAACAUUAACGAAAACACAACAACAUUAACGAAAACACAACAACAUUAACAAAAACACAACAACAUUAACGAAAGCACUACAACAUUAAGGAAAACACAACGGAAGAGGUAGGUCCCAGUGGGAGACCUAAGAAGUCGCUGAUUGGACGACAGGUCGUUUUACUUUUGAACCGGAAGUUAUGCUGGAGUGCUUCGUUUGAUUGAAAACCUAAGGAAGCGGGAAUACAGUCACUUCGCCAUGUAUUGCCCGAACUGUGGAAAGGAGGUGGUUGAGCCGUCACCAAAUUUUUGCAGUAAUUGUGGCAAGAGGCUUCAAGAAACUUGUAUGGAGGAUACUCCACAAUGUUCAACACAACAGACUGUCCCAUCCUGCCGUACACCAGCCCUCAGCACCUUCCUUGAAUAGAAAAAUGAGGAGCGACCAAAGUAUUCUCUUGGGAGAAAGGGGUUAAAACAAAAGGUAGAAAUGAAAGUUCGGGUAGGUGCUAAAUUGGGUUCCCCUGUGUCGGGAGCGAUCAUUACAGCCAGAGAGACGAAUGAGGCGGAUCUGACCAUUUUCACGUCGCUUCUGAUCGAUUUCUCGGUAAAACAACUCAUAUAAUCAUGUGAAGGUUGUAACAUUGAGUUUAAUUGGCAGCUGUUGUUUAAAAAAUUGUAUAAUAAAUAAAUAAACAAGA